GGGCGCAAGCCUGAUCCAGCCAUGCCGCGUGAGUGAAGAAGGCCUUCGGGUUGUAAAGCUCUUUCGGCCGGGACGAAACGGUUCGUGCUAAUACCACGGACUACUGACGGUACCCGCAGAAGAAGCACCGGCUAACUACGUGCCAGCAGCCGCGGUAAUACGUAGGGUGCAGGCGUUAAUCGGAAUUACUGGGCGUAAAGCGUGCGCAGGCGGUUUGUUAAGACAGGUGUGAAAUCCCCGGGCUUAACCUGGGAAUUGCGCUUGUAACUGGCAGACUGGAGUGUGGCAGAGGGGGGUGGAAUUCCAAGUGUAGCAGUGAAAUGCGUAGAUAUUUGGAGGAACACCGAUGGCGAAGGCAGCCCCCUGGGCUAACACUGACGCUCAUGCACGAAA
RNAcentral lists this ribosomal RNA (393 nucleotides) under uncultured bacterium. Its description in RNAcentral is "bacterial SSU rRNA". It matches the Rfam family "Bacterial small subunit ribosomal RNA", at positions 373 to 758 of the family's 1533-position model. The record is from RNAcentral.